Long non-coding RNA from Mytilus trossulus (common blue mussel), 739 nucleotides. RefSeq lists it as uncharacterized. The record is from RefSeq and is a predicted model, not a curated record. The transcript is spliced from 3 exons. Lineage: Eukaryota; Metazoa; Mollusca; Bivalvia; Mytilida; Mytilidae.
CUUUUUGGUGUUUAGACAUACCAAAAGUGAUGCUCUUCAAUUUAAAAACCGAUAAAGGUUGUAACCAGCUGGUAAUGUUUUGACAGAAAAAUGAACUUCUGUUGUAUAUUUGUAUACAUAAUUGAACAUUUUGAUAAAAUUUGAGAAAAGUACAUAACUUUGUGGUGUUGGGGAAACUUAUUUCCCUCACCAGGAGAUUGUUGCAUACAUGUACGGUUGAUCACUUCCAGACAGAGGUAGUUAUAAUAUCUGUACGGGAAUGAAGAUUAUUUAUAAGACUGAAAUUAUUGUAUUAUUUGCUGGAAAUGUGAAAUAUGAGGAAUUUAAAGCCAUUCGUGAGUAGUUUUUGAUGAUUCAGCUGGACAAAUGCUGGAAAUUAUACAGUUUUCUCCCACCUUAAAACAGACUCAGUACAUGGUAUAUCAUGGACACCAAAAGCAAACUAUAAAGAUCUAAAUGCCAUAAUUUUGUGCAUCUUGAAAACUGGAAAGGCGGAUCACUUUGAAGCAGAUGCUAGUGAUAGUGUUUAAAAGAAUUCUUUGUGACAGUUAUACCAGUUGGAACAGAUAAAAGAUACAUCAGAUGACAGACUUACAUAUAGAGAGGAGCCUAUAAUUAGAGAAAUGGAUCAACUUGAUUUUGAAGUUAACCUACUGCAUUAAUAUGAAAAUUCAUAAGUGACUGAGCUUAAAGAAAAUCACACAAGAAACUGUAACCAGUUUUGGAGACUCGUACAACA